This is a long non-coding RNA of Pseudophryne corroboree (corroboree frog), 781 nucleotides long. RefSeq lists it as uncharacterized. NCBI's taxonomy places the organism in Eukaryota, Metazoa, Chordata, Amphibia, Anura, Myobatrachidae. The transcript has 6 exons. The record is from RefSeq and is a predicted model, not a curated record.
GUUGCCUAGCAACGGAUACGUCAUCUAUGCGCCGCCCGUGUGACGCACCCGGAAGUCCCGGACACAGACGCCGGGAACACCUGCUCCUGCACACUUCUUAAAAGGUCGCCUUAACUCCGGAACGAUAGUAGCCAGACGAAUUGGACGAGAAUAACAAUUCCACUACUUUUAUGACACCAAUAAAUACUCUGACUACUGAUCUGGUUUAUCCCUAAAUCAAUGUAAGACAAAUAUUGAACCGAAAUUAUUUAUUAUACUGGAACAUCACGUUCAUUGAAUCCUGUCUGGGAUCUAUCUUCGGCUCUGUUAAAAGUAUGCCAUACGGAUAUUCCCAACUCCUACUGACAGUAUCCCUAAAGUUCAGCUGACUAUUCGUACGUUGGUGCACAAUGAGGAAUAGAAAACCCGGUCGCCUUAACUCCGGAACGAUAGUAGCCAGACGAAUUGGACGAGAAUAACAAUUCCACUACUUUUAUGACACCAAUAAAUACUCUGACUACUGAUCUGGUUUAUCCCUAAAUCAAUGUAAGACAAAUAUUGAACCGAAAUUAUUUAUUAUACUGGAACAUCACGUUCAUUGAAUCCUGUCUGGGAUCUAUCUUCGGCUCUGUUAAAAGUAUGCCAUACGGAUAUUCCCAACUCCUACUGACAGUAUCCCUAAAGUUCAGCUGACUAUUCGUACGUUGGUGCACAAUGAGGAAUAGAAAACCCGGGCAUCAAUUUUGGAAACGAUACGGAAAGAUAUGGAAGUGUUCACAGAGACAUACACAGUUCUGAGAUA